AAAAAUAAGUUUUAGUAACUAUAAUUUAGAUUUCCCCUCUUUUCUUUGUUACAUUGGGUAUGUUAUUCAUUCCUUCAUUUCCAAUUUUUUUUUCUAGCCCCAAUUCUAUCUAGUUUAUUUUUAUUUAAUUAUUGUUUGUGAGGCGCUCGUUUCUUCUAGGGCUCGGCCCCACGUCCAAGGGGGGUAGGUAUCUGGGCGAAUGGGUAGGUCUUCUCGGCUAAAAUAUUGGAUCCGGUGGGUACUUCACAAAAUCCAGGUUAAAAUUGAACUCUUACACUAAACAGCAUCUAGUGGUUGAAAAUCCAACUGCUUGAAAAAUGUAAUCAUCCUUAAUUGCUAUGUGAUUACUGAAAUGAGGGGUUUACACUUUAGUUCCAUUCCUGCAUUUUGUAUUCUUCAACCAAAAACUAACGAUAUGUUAUUGUCAAUUGUGUUAUUCCAUUGUUAUGUAUGUAUUUGAUUGCAAACAUUUCAUACUGAUUAUUUUCUCUUCAUAUAACAGUUUACCUUGUCAUCAUCUAAGCAUGUUAGUAACCAGAUAAUUUUGGGCAAACUAUGUCUGCAACUCAUCAUCAUGCUAGUGCCCAGUGAGAGGAUUCACAUUUUGCUUACCACUGGGUACUAGGCAUCAGACUUUUAUUGCUACCAAUGUCAUGAACCUUAAGGCAGCUUGAUGCUGAUACUGUAGUUUACCAUUGUUUUUCAUCUUGUGAGCGCAGCAUAUUCAUAUAUGCUGGGAAACAUCCACUUUUCCAUCAUCGAAUAGUCAAACACUACAUGACCAAAAAUCAUCAAAUAUCUACCAAUCCAUCAAUUUUUCAGAAGACUUCUUUGCACUGUUACCACAGACUACGAAGUAAAGACCGCUAUCCCCUAUCUCACCGUGUAGGCGAUGCUUGGUCUUACCGCUAGGGGCGCGGGAGUAUACUUUCUGAAAUUUUUAUACUUUUUCUAAUGUUAGUACUGAAUACGUGCUUCACACACACGUAUUGGCGGGAAUUGUAUUUAACUUUACGUUAUCAACCUUACACCUAAAUUUUCUAGAUCCCCUUCCUGUAUCCCGUGAAUUAUUUCAAAAUUUUAUUCUAAUUCUUUGGUAUGGUAAUAAAAUUAUACAUUUACCCCCUCUUUUCCCUAUUUUUCACAUGUAUGCACGAUGGGAACACAUCUGAAAAAUAGGGAAAAGAGAAACCCUUCCCACUUUUUCAUUUUUGGCCAAAUUUCAAAUUAGGCUUAAAAUACAUGAUUUAGAUUCAAAAUUGAA
Daphnia magna is the source of this 1264-nucleotide long non-coding RNA. RefSeq lists it as uncharacterized. The transcript has 2 exons. NCBI's taxonomy places the organism in Eukaryota, Metazoa, Arthropoda, Branchiopoda, Diplostraca, Daphniidae. The record is from RefSeq and is a predicted model, not a curated record.